RNAcentral lists this signal recognition particle RNA (299 nucleotides) under Saimiri boliviensis boliviensis (Bolivian squirrel monkey). RNAcentral's name for it is "Metazoan signal recognition particle RNA (ENSSBOG00000000479.1)". It matches the Rfam family "Metazoan signal recognition particle RNA". Rfam says of the family: The signal recognition particle (SRP) is a universally conserved ribonucleoprotein. It is involved in the co-translational targeting of proteins to membranes. The eukaryotic SRP consists of a 300-nucleotide 7S RNA and six proteins: SRPs 72, 68, 54, 19, 14, and 9. Lineage: Eukaryota; Metazoa; Chordata; Mammalia; Primates; Cebidae. The record is from RNAcentral.
GCCGGGCGCGGUGGCCCGUGUCUGUAGUUCCAGCUAUUCGGGAGGCUGAGGCUGGAGGAUCUCUUGAGUCCAGGAGAUCUAGGCUGUAGUGCGCUAUGCCGAUCGGGUGUCCGCACUAAGUUCAUCAUCAAUAUGGUGACCUCCUGGGAGCGGGGGACCACCAGGUUGCCUAAGGAGGGGUGAACAGGCCCAGGUCGGAAACGGAGCAGGUCAAAACUCCCGUGCUGAUGAGUAGUGGGAUCGCGCCUGUGAAUAGCCACUGCACUCCAGCCUGAGCAACAUAGUGAGUCCCUGUCUCU